GCGUGGGUGUCUACCUGAUUUGAGGUCAGAAGUCAAUGAAAUGUCUUGCGACAGUUUGAAGCAUGAAGCUGUAUCACCCAAGCACGAUGCAGAUAAUUAUCACACCGAGCAUGAAGUGGACAUUCACACUAAUGCAAUUGAGAGGAGCCGGCAUCCAGAAGGAUCCCUGCAACAGCCUCCAAGUCCAAUGUCACUUCAGCAAGAGCUGAAGGAAUUGAGAAUAUCAUGACACUCAAACAGGCAUGCUCCUCGGAAUACCAAGGAGCGCAAGAUGCGUUCAAAGAUUCGAUGAUUCACUGAAUUCUGCAAUUCACAUUACUUAUCGCAUUUCGCUGCGUUCUUCAUCGAUGCGAGAGCCAAGAGAUCCGUUGCUGAAAGUUGUAUUUCAUUGUGUGGAUACACAGAAACAUUCUCAACCAUUGUAAAAGUUUAUAAAGUACACAGAGGCAGCCUGCAGCCAGAGGCCGCGAGUUGUCCUGUGAAAAGUGCACAGAGGUGAGAGGUAAAUGAGAGAGAUGCGCACAUGCCCAAGGGCCAGCAGCAAUCUCACCCAAGUGGAAUUCAAUAAUGAUCCUUCCGCAGGUUCACCUUACGGAAG
Molecule: unclassified non-coding RNA, 598 nt
Filed under: uncultured fungus
Lineage: Eukaryota; Fungi
Description: partial contains ITS1, 5.8S rRNA, ITS2, 28S rRNA
Source: RNAcentral